AUGCUUAACACAUGCAAGUCGAACGGUAACAUUGGAGCUUGCUCCAGAUGACGAGUGGCGGACGGGUGAGUUACGCGUAGGAAUCUGCCUAGUAGUGGGGGACAACAUGUGGAAACGCAUGCUAAUACCGCAUACGCCCUACGGGGGAAGGCGGGGGAUCUUCGGACCUCGCGCUAUUAGAUGAGCCUGCGUUAGAUUAGCUAGUUGGUGGGGUAAUGGCCUACCAAGGCGACGAUCUAUAGCUGGUCUGAGAGGACGAUCAGCCACACUGGGACUGAGACACGGCCCAGACUCCUACGGGAGGCAGCAGUGGGGAAUAUUGGACAAUGGGCGAAAGCCUGAUCCAGCAAUACCACGUGUGUGAAGAAGGCCUGAGGGUUGUAAAGCACUUUCAAUUGGGAGGAAAACAGCUGGGUUAAUAGCCCUGCUCUUGACAUUACCUUUAGAAGAAGCACCGGCUAACUCCGUGCCAGCAGCCGCGGUAAUACGGAGGGUGCGAGCGUUAAUCGGAAUUACUGGGCGUAAAGCGUACGUAGGCGGUUAUUUAAGUCAGAUGUGAAAGCCCCGGGCUCAACCUGGGAACUGCAUUUGAUACUGGAUAACUAGAGUUUGAUAGAGGAGAGUAGAAUUUCUGGUGUAGCGGUGAAAUGCGUAGAGAUCAGAAGGAAUACCAGUGGCGAAGGCGGCUCUCUGGAUCAAAACUGACGCUGAGGUACGAAAGCGUGGGUAGCAAACAGGAUUAGAUACCCUGGUAGUCCACGCCGUAAACGAUGUCAACUAGCCGUUGGGUCCAAUUAAGGACUUAGUGGUGCAGCUAACGCAUUAAGUUGACCGCCUGGGGAGUA
RNAcentral lists this ribosomal RNA (845 nucleotides) under uncultured prokaryote. RNAcentral describes it as "bacterial SSU rRNA". It matches the Rfam family "Bacterial small subunit ribosomal RNA", at positions 44 to 882 of the family's 1533-position model. The record is from RNAcentral.